Molecule: long non-coding RNA, 3468 nt
Organism: Anopheles coluzzii
Lineage: Eukaryota; Metazoa; Arthropoda; Insecta; Diptera; Culicidae
Exons: 5
Source: RefSeq, a predicted model, not a curated record
UGUGCAAUGUAAACAAAUAACGUGUACAAAUAUCAACUAAAUCCAUAAAAUGACUUAAAUAUUAAGUAUUUCCGCAAUUUUCAGUAAAUAAUUCAUCAUUUCUUCCAAUUAGGAAUUAGGAAUGUUCUGCUUGAGAAGAUGUUGUUUUUAAGUGAAUUUCGAAAGUGGAAGUUGUAUCUUUACCCCCAACCCUAUAGCUGUGCCUGUCAGAUGUAGCCGCGCGGUGAAACGUUGAUCUGUGCAGCUUACUCUCUAGCGAGCAGUGUCACCACAAGCGCCAAACACAAUCAGCAACCUUUGCCAAACCUACCGUAGGAAAGCCUGUAAUUGGCCUUUACUAUUAGCGAUAGGUGAUGAUUGUAACGCCGUAGCAGUGUGAGAGAGUUGGGAUCCUCGUUCACUUUUCACGCGGAAAACAUUCACUACUUUAGAAUCUGCACCAAGCUCCACUGUGAUGAACCGUUGCACGUAAUCAAUUUCAUUCAGCUUGGCAAGACACGAUUGUUCCUUUGGACGGCUUCAUCUACCCAACGGACCAAACCAUCCUUCUAACCACUCGCUAGCGAAAACCAUUUGCUACCAUUUUGAUCCAUUAAACCAAAAAAAGAAAAAGAAACCCCUUUUUGUUCGCCUUAUCGUGCACCCGUUCUCAUCAAUUCGGCACAUUCUCCCGAUUUGCUCGUUAUAUGCCACUCGUUCAUUUGUCAUUUGUGGUCGGAAAAAGCAAAAAUACAACGUAAAAGAGGGCAUACACCUCCCCGUCUGAGCCUGCCGCCGUUCAAUUGUUCGCUAAUGAUGGAGGUCGCCUAGAUAGCGAGCAAAAGAAGAAGGCGAAGAAGACGAAGAAGAAGAGGACGAGUAAGAAGAAAGUAGCCGCCCCAAAAAAGCCCCAGCGUACCCAGGAUCGUGCCUGGUAAGGUUAGGUGUGCCACCCGGUGUCCGGAGGCGAGCUUUGGCGUUUUCGAUUACGGAGCGGAAGUUUUGCUUUUGAAUAAUGCUGCUGGCUGCUGCUGCGACCUGGUUGUGAUGUUGUGAUAGCGGAGACCGGGAGGAGGUGUUUGGGAAAGCCGCCAACCGCCCCCCUCCCCCUCUCCCGCCCCCUUGGAGUACGGUGCAAAAUUCGCAUCGUCCCCGCGUUGGCCGUACGGCCGUGAUAGCUAAUCUGCGAUUCGGGCACAAUUUCCGUUCAAUCAAUGGUUCGCCAAAGCCACGGCAAUCCACCUUUGGGGCACACGGUGUGCAGUGGCAGGAGAUGUGUGUGUGUGCCACCGUUCGCCGGUCGUUAGAUUAAUCCUUCUUGAAGGUUUCGGGGUUUGUGGAAAAAAAAUGAAGAAGGUAAACUGUGGAGCGGGCGAAGAGCAUCCACCUUCAGCGGGAUUGUGAUAAGCAAUUUUUGCUUUGAUCCCACCACCCAUUCCCAAAACCCAUUGUAGCCGGGGCUGUGCACGCGGAAAGCAGCACUGAAUCAAUGAGUGAAUUUUCCAAUUUCACUGUAAGCGCGCGUGUGUUGCCUCGACACACCGGAAGGAUAAAAAUGCCUGUUUUUUUGUUGCUGUUGUUGGCUCCUUCCUACGCGUGCUUUAUAAAGCCGUUUCCUGCACUUUCAACGCUGCUUUUCGGUAUGGUGAAAGGAAAGCGGAGUUUCCCCUGUUACUGUAUAUACCGCGAUAUCGCGCAAAGUAAGUCACCAACAACGAGCGCGAUGAACUCUGUGUGAUCUUACAAACCUGGGCCACUUUACUGCGGCACGGUAAUGAUGGCAUGAGCGUAAUCACCGGUCGACAAUCGAUUUGUUCGGCUGUCCCGUGCUCAGGCAGUUUACAGCAGGAGAAAAAAAACGCAUUUCUGCCAAUAAGCUGCCUCUUUUGCUGCCGAUUACGCUGUAAUCUCGCACACUUUCCGGUGCGAAGGGUCCGCCAGGAUGGUUGUUACGUUGCUCCACUUUCUCAGGGGUAAUCGUUGUGUAAGCAAAUCGUUUCGAAUAAAGUGGACUAUGAAAUUAUUUAUAUCGUUUUGAAUGGAUUAGGAACAAAACAAAAAACAAAACGGCUCUGCAUGUACGGUGCCAGCUAAUUCCUUUGAGAUGUAGUAUUCGCAAAAGGGAAUGUGGAAGAAUAAUGGCAAAGUAGUAUUAUUAUGAUGGCACGUGUUGCUCAAUUACUAAAGCAUCUGCUCGAGUGUUAGGGUGUGUGUUGGUUGUAGCGUUGGUGGCGUCUGCUCCUUAAGAGAUGGAAUUAGAUAGCUCAAGAGAUGUUCAAGUGUAAGCGUAAGCCUUACAACGAAAUUGGGGUCCUACUUAAAAGCCUUAACAAGCGCAUAUAAAACAAGUUCAAUGUAGCAAACAUGUUCAAAGAACAAAGCACGGUCAAGGCUGAUGAACUGUUCUGGGUUCUUUGCUGUGGAGCUUUGCAUUGAUCAGUAUUGUUGGUUGACAGUAAUGUUAGAGAAAAUUUUUAAAUUUCCCACAGAGUUUGUAUAUGUUUUUGUAGAGCAAGAUGAAUACAUAGUAAGCAUUACUAUUUAGUGUACAAGUUGCUUCAUGUGUUGUCUGUACUAAUUGCUAAUUGCGAAAAGGAGUACGCAAUUGAAGAAUUUCAAGCUUAGCGCGGUUGCUGUGCGGAUCAAGAGGAAAGACAAUACAUAAGAAACUGGCAUACAAUGUACGGUAGCGCUGGCAUUUGAUGCUUACUUCCUUCGAUACGUUGGAGCACAUUGUUUGAAAAAAAUCAAACCCACAUACACUCCUAUGAUCCUACACGUGCUUCCUAGUAAUUGAACAAUCGUAACAAUCCUCCUAGAUACGGGAAACAUUCUGGGAAUCCUGCAAGUGGACGAAAACUUCUGGAAGUGUAUUUUUAGAGGUAAAUCUUAUACCUGAACUGAACGCUUUUAGACGAACUGUGGAAUUGAAUCAAUGGGAUUUCAUCGUAUCGUUGAAGUUGUUCUGGAAAAGAAGAUGAACACACAUGACCAGUUAGUUUGGAAAGAGUGGAUUUUUUCGUGCUUAUACUAUUGUAAUAUGCUACAGUUGGCCUUUAUAACGUUGUCAAUUUGUUUCCGUCGAAGCGGACUUUCACUUGAUGUAACUUUCAGAAGUCCGAUUUAUUUCAGUAACUUUAGACUUCAUUUCACUUUACAAAAUUCUCUUUAUUUCUCUUCAGUAUAUACUUUCCGUUCAAGAAUUUAGAAGAAGUAACCUUUUUCGUUCAGCGAAUGUUUGGUGCAUUCUACAGCGGCUUAUGAUCAUGCAGUUAGUGAUUCAGGAUUCGGAAGAUUCGAAGAUUCAAUUGACGAAGAAGAUUCGUGGGAACGAAAGAAACCACGUAUCUCUAAUUUGGGAAGACGAUUCACACAGUUUUCAGUCAAAAUAUAGCAAAUGUUCGUGUAAUGUAGCAUUUAAUGAGAAGUUAUAGACACUAGAUAAAUUUUUCUGACUUGAUAUUGAAUAAAGGUCCGCGUAUCUCGGGG